Molecule: ribosomal RNA, 424 nt
Filed under: uncultured bacterium
Lineage: Bacteria
Description: bacterial SSU rRNA
Rfam family: Bacterial small subunit ribosomal RNA
Source: RNAcentral
GGGGAAUCUUGCCCAAUGGGCGCAAGCCUGACGCAGCGACGCCGCGUGGGGGAAGAAGGCCUUCGGGUUGUAAACCCCUUUCAGGAGGGACGAAGCCACUCGGGCGAAUAGCCCCAAGGGUGACGGUACCUCCAGAAGAAGCCCCGGCUAACUACGUGCCAGCAGCCGCGGUAAUACGGAGGGGGCAAGCGUUGUCCGGAUUUAUUGGGCGUAAAGAGCGUGUAGGCGGCCAGACAGGUCCGUUGUGAAAACUCGAGGCUCAACCUCGGGACGGCGAUGGAAACCGUCUGGCUAGAGUCCGGAAGAGGAGUGUGGAAUUCCUGGUGUAGCGGUGAAAUGCGCAGAUAUCAGGAAGAACACCUAUGGCGAAGGCAGCACUCUGGGACGGUACUGACGCUGAGACGCGAAAGCGUGGGGAGCGAAC